RNAcentral lists this transfer RNA (63 nucleotides) under Rattus norvegicus (Norway rat). It matches the Rfam family "tRNA", at positions 1 to 62 of the family's 71-position model. From Rfam's summary of the family: Transfer RNA (tRNA) molecules are approximately 80 nucleotides in length. Their secondary structure includes four short double-helical elements and three loops (D, anti-codon, and T loops). Lineage: Eukaryota; Metazoa; Chordata; Mammalia; Rodentia; Muridae. The record is from Rfam by way of RNAcentral.
GGGGACUUAGCUCAGUGGUAGAGCGCUUGCCUAGCAAGCACAAGGCCCUGGGUUCGGUCCCCA